AGGAACAGAUGAGUUUUAUACUGCAGUGAACCUAGCCUACUCCCUUUUGCACACUGUUGUGAAGAUCCCACAGACUCAAGAUGCAAGAUGGACACAUCCGUACGGCAGAGGGAUGAGUGAGUGAUGGCCAUCCAGCGAGCAACGGGGAUGUCCUGGCUCGAAGGCAGGCAUGUGUGUGAUUAAGGGAUAUACAUGCAUGGCUCCAGGAUUUACUUCCUUCCCAUCCCACAGAGUUACUGAAGGGAGUGAGUUAUGGGAUAAUUUAUAACACGGCAGGCCCUUCCUCAAGACAGUCCUCAUCAAAACAGGAAGAUGAAACUCAAGUUUCAACAAAGAGACCCCAGCUUGGGAUACCGUCUGGACAUAACUCCUAAUUACAAGCAGAAAAGUCUUCCUACUUUUUCAUUUCCAACUCCUGUGCCCCCAAACAGAUGUCUGCUUUAAGAUGGAGCUAUGUAGGGGAGCCCUUCCACUAUUCUCUGAGCUCUCCUUGUGGAUGUGGAUGUUUUAACAUCUUCAGCCUCAGACUUGGUGUCAGUCUUACCAACUUAAGGUCACAGCCCAUAGUUGAAGAAGUUGUUACUUAACACACAGGCAGUGGGUUCAGGUGCCCAAGAGUCCAGAGGUGUCAGAUUCUCCUGAAGCCAAUGUUACUGCCUGAUGUGAACACUGGGAAUCAAACCUGGGUCCUCUCAGUAUGUGCUCUUAAUCACUGAGCCAUCUCUUUCAGCCCUAGUUUUCAGGACCUGCUUCCAAGUAGCACAUGGCAGUUGCUAUCAACUCAGGCUGUCCCUUGAAGAUUUCUCUCUGCCUUGUUUGAGAUGAACUUGAUGGUUUUGAGGAGACCUCAGCAGCAGUCACUCAGAUCUUUGGAAGAAAAGGCAUACAGAAGUACAAGAAGAAAGACAUAGAGAAAACCAUCCUAGCUGACGACCAACAAAGUCUUUAAGAAGCACUAAUCAUGAGCUCUUAGAGUUGACCAGAACAAUGGCUUGAAAAAGAGAAGAAAAAUGAAGUUGAAACUCCAUCCAGAAGGAGACUUCUGGCUUCCUCCUGACAUCUCUAGAACCAUUACAUGAUCUGAUAAAAAGCUAGGACUAUGUGAAUGUCAGUGCCUGUAUCAACAUUGCAUAGGUAGUAGAGGCUUCCAGACAGCCAACAUGUGUUGGCUAUUGUCGUGGGGUUUGUCCUGAUACUAUGUCCUUAAUAUCUCUAUGUAUGCAAUCAAACUUCUACCUAGACAAUCCUAGUAACAGUUGAAUCAUGAAAAAGUGACUUGGGCACCUUAAACAUCCAAGUGCUGCUUGCACUUCCUCUUGAGAUGGUGCCAGGAGAACAUCAAAGCACAGGAGCAGAGAGAUCAUGGCCUCCAAACAAACAUGUACCUACAAUUGACUUCAGGUGACAAACUGGCAUCCCUGUCCAAGAGCAGGUAGCUGAGGGGAAAAAGAAGAAAGAACAGCACAGAGUUGCAGUCUUCCUCCCAUGCUCAGGAAUUGCCACCAGCGCCAUGACAUCGGGCCUCCUCUUGUUUGCUUCUGGAAACCAUAUGUGUACUCUUUUUGUAACGGUUUGGCUAUGGUUGUUAGCUCCUCUUGAACAUUGUUUUUAGAUCUUAAAAAAAUGUUGCUUCAAGUGUUAUCAAGAUGCAUUUAAAAUAAAAAUACCCUCCUCACAUUUAGUAUGAAGUUGAUUCUUGCAAUUUCUUUAGUCAAAACUCUUUUUAUUGAUCGAUUUUACUCUGAUGAAUUCAUAUAGUGUGUUUUGGUUAUUCUCACCUCCCCCCCCAACUCUCUUAUCUCCUUUCCAGCCCUGUUACCCUUCCUCCUCAUCCCUACGGGUCCAUUUCACACAUUCAUGUCUCUCUGUUUUAUGAACCAUUGAUUUUAACCAGGGCCAUCAGUGUUACCGUGGGUUUGGAAUUAUCCACUGGAGCUUGGUUGGCUCAAAGUAAAGAUAAUGAUUUUCCCUUCCCCCAAAUCCACCAUAGCCCCAUAAGGCCCCUCCCCAAUCCAUGACUGACUGUUGGAAAGCCUAAUCUUGUACAAGUCAGUGCAGGCCCCCUCAGCUGCUGUUAGAUCAUGUCCUGGAAGUAGCAGCAUUUUGCAGACUUUGUCCCUGUCCAUUUCCACUUCUACUAUGUUCCCCGAGCCUCAGAUGGGGUAGUGUAAAUGUUCUGUCAACCUGUCCAGUCUGUAGUAUAUGAAUUUACUUAGAUGAAACAAAGAUAGUAAUCAAUGGGAAACCUAUUCUAAGCCCUGCACAUGCUACAAAAAAUACAGAGAAUAACAAAAAUUAACCAGUACUGUAUAAACUCAAGGUCAUUGUUCUGUGUCGGUGUUAGUAGUGUAUCUGUUCCCAAGGUUUUGUAUCACUGUUAAGUUAGACAUGAUCCACUCUUAUUUGCUGUACAGUGAAUCACAUUGCCAACAAAAUUGAAAAAAUAAAACAGGAUAUAAAGAAUAUAAAGGGGGUGUACUCUGUAAGACAGUUGCAAACCACUUAUGGGAAUCAGUGCAUGGCAAAACAAUAGAGACCAUCUAAUCUCUGCUCAUUCAUAUUUAAUGUGGCAGAGGUUAUGGCUUAUAGUUUUGACCUAGAAUCCUUGAGAGCUGGGGUGUGUGUCUUUGCUGUUUUGUCCUAUCCAGUUAAAGAAAAUUAGCAAUCAAUACACGUCUGUAACUGAGGUCUUUGGUAGAUGGGUGUUGUUAUAAUUGGGAAAUAGGUGGAAUAUUAUGUGUAGAGGUUUCCCUUUUUGUAUGUUUGCAUAACUGUGUGUUGCUUUCCAUGUGAGCUCUUUAUCCACAAUAUAACAUCUAACUGAGUUAACAUACUAGGCAGGGUAGAGGGAAGAAUUCUGCUAGAUUGUCUUAAAUAGUAUUUUCUGUUGAUGUUGUGUUCUGCAACUGACCAGUUGUGAAUAACCCAAUGUAUGUGCUUCUUUGAGUGGUGCAUAUCAGAUAAAGUUUCUCCAUUUUGUUUCAGAAUCUUGUUUUUUCAAUAAUGCUUCAGUGGACUAUACAGAAUCUCCACCAGCCACACAACUUUCUCAGAGUGUUGAAAGUGGUAUUGGUAUUUUAUAUGAAAUUUAUUUUCAAAAUCAGACCAGUAGAAUACUGCACCUUUGAUUCUCAAAUUGUUCUGCAGUUCUUUUUAUGUUUGUGUGAUUGGAGUCUUGGCACUCAGUUCUCCUAGCCUCUAUCCACUAAUUGUCAACAACAAAAGGGUAUACAAUGAAUAAACCUGUAUUUUUGUGUUUC
Molecule: long non-coding RNA, 3260 nt
Organism: Mesocricetus auratus (golden hamster)
Lineage: Eukaryota; Metazoa; Chordata; Mammalia; Rodentia; Cricetidae
Exons: 11
Source: RefSeq, a predicted model, not a curated record